This is a long non-coding RNA of Lacerta agilis (Sand lizard), 735 nucleotides long. RefSeq lists it as uncharacterized. The record is from RefSeq and is a predicted model, not a curated record. Lineage: Eukaryota; Metazoa; Chordata; Lepidosauria; Squamata; Lacertidae. The transcript has 5 exons.
CACAUCCAGCCCUUUGGGCGUUAGCGGGCUAUAUAAAGGGGAAGCUGCGUCCUGCUGAACUUCAGUGCGGAUCCAGACAGCCAGGUUUUCAUUGCGGGUGUGCGCCUGCUUCUCACCAUGGCGAACAAGGGAUUCUUCCAGCUGCUGAUGAAGAAGAAGGAACUUAUUCCUCUGAUCGGGUUUGUGAGUUUUGCUGGAUCGGAGCCACCUUCGCUGGCUGGAACGCGCUGAGAAAACCCGACCUGAUUUUAAGCAAGUCUGACCCAGAACCGUGGCAAUAUGUGGAUCCUACCAAACCCCAGAAGCAUCUAACAAUCAACCAGCAAUGGAAGCCCAUAGAAGAGCUGGAGACAGUUCGAGAAAUGACGAAGCGAUGAGGUGUCAUCCCCCCAAACGACACUCUAUGAAUCUAGUGGAAUCAUUUCUGCACAAACUAGAUUAUCGAAACCAGUGUGCGGAAAUGCUUCUGCUACAUUUUUAGGGUCUCCCUCCAAUUUUUUGGACUCUGGAUUAAGGACUUUACUGUUGACCUUAGUAAGUUACCGUGUAUACAUCCACACAGUCCAAAAAUAGAGGUUGGCUCACACUUGUGAAAGCCACGUUUGCUUUGAAGCACAGUGUCCGACGAUCUAUAAGCUAUGCCCUUGUGAACUUUGAAAAGAGUUGUCUUAUUUUUCUCCGAAAUAAUACUGCAAUAUAUAUUUUCAAUAAACCUGGAAUCGAAAUUUGAAGUUA